UGGGGUUGUGGCUCAGUGGUAGAGUGCUUGCCUGGCAUGUGUGAGACCCUGGGUUUGAUCCUCAGCACCACAA
This 73-nucleotide transfer RNA is filed under the name Marmota monax (woodchuck). RNAcentral describes it as "tRNA.Ala". It matches the Rfam family "tRNA". From Rfam's summary of the family: Transfer RNA (tRNA) molecules are approximately 80 nucleotides in length. Their secondary structure includes four short double-helical elements and three loops (D, anti-codon, and T loops). The record is from RNAcentral. Lineage: Eukaryota; Metazoa; Chordata; Mammalia; Rodentia; Sciuridae.